GGACUACUGGGGUAUCUAAUCCUGUUUGAUCCCCACGCUUUCGCGCUGCAGCGUCAGAAACUGGCCAGUGAGCCGCCUUCGCCACCGGUGUUCUUCCCAAUAUCUACGAAUUUCACCUCUACACUGGGAAUUCCACUCACCUCUCCAGUCCUCAAAGCCUCGCAGUCCCAAAGGCCAUUCCCGAGUUGAGCUCAGGCAUUUCACCUCUGGCUUGCAAAACCGCCUACGCGCGCUUUACGCCCAGUAAUUCCGAACAACGCUAGCCCCCUUCGUAUUACCGCGGCGGCUGGCAC
RNAcentral lists this ribosomal RNA (293 nucleotides) under uncultured Alphaproteobacteria bacterium. RNAcentral describes it as "partial 16S ribosomal RNA". The record is from RNAcentral. Lineage: Bacteria; Pseudomonadati; Pseudomonadota; Alphaproteobacteria.